RNAcentral lists this ribosomal RNA (407 nucleotides) under uncultured bacterium. RNAcentral describes it as "partial 16S ribosomal RNA". It matches the Rfam family "Bacterial small subunit ribosomal RNA", at positions 30 to 526 of the family's 1533-position model. The record is from RNAcentral.
AUUGAACGCUUGAGGCAUGCCUAACACAUGCAAGUCGAGCGGAGCGGCGGCCGGGUGAGUAAUGCGUAGGAAUCUGCCUGGUAGUGGGGGAGAACGUCCGGAAACGGGCGAUAAUACAGCAUCCUAUCAGAAGAGCCUCGGUCGGAUUGGCUAGUUGGUGGGGGAGAGUCCUACAAAGGCGACGAUCCGUAAGUGGACUGAGAGGAUGAUCAGUCACACGGGAACUGAGACACGGUCCAGACUCCUACGGGAGGCAGCAGUGGGUAAUAUUUGGCAAUGGGCGAAAGCCUGAUCCAGCCAUGCCGCGUGUGUGAAGAAGGUCUGCGGAUUUUAAAGCACUUUAAGUUGGGAGGCGUUACCAACAGAAGAAGCACCGGCUAACUUCGUGCCAGCAGCCGCGGUAAUUC